RNAcentral lists this long non-coding RNA (771 nucleotides) under Cricetulus griseus (Chinese hamster). RNAcentral's name for it is "lncRNA (ENSCGRG00000025960.1)". The record is from RNAcentral. Lineage: Eukaryota; Metazoa; Chordata; Mammalia; Rodentia; Cricetidae.
UGUUUGGCCAACGAGGCAGCAAGUUAGAUGGGACUAGGAGUCAAAGAGGAUCCUGGGAAAUGUAGUAAAGAAGUGAUGAUCCAGGCAGGAAAUGACAUAGCAAGGAGACUCAUACAUAAACAUGGGCAGAAGGAAGUGGGCCCUCUCUUCCUCCAGAUUCGCCAUGUGUGGGAGAACGCCAAUGGAAGACAUCCGAUAAGCCUCAGGAAAUGAUCACAGCAUCAGCCAAACAAGACCAACAAGAUGGUUCCCUGGUUGGUCACAAUUUCAACCGAGAAGGAAAUGGAGGAGAGCCAUAUUUAAUAAAGGGGAAAUGAAGGCAACUGGAAUACCAGAGGAAUGUUCAAAGCCUUUCCCACACUCUUGUCCAGUGUUGACUUCUUGGGAUGAGUUGGCAAUCAAUGGGCAGGAAGGAAUUGGAGAGCUGCUUCAGGAUGCCUUCCUCAGGUGGAGAAAUAACAAGGGGAUAGCAAUGGAAAAAAAUGUUUGGAUGAAAGAAACACCCAUAAAAACUGUGACUCCUCCAUCUGAAGACUGCUUUCAUAUCUGUGACUCAGAAGGGAAUUGUGGCUCUUAUAAUGCAAUGAAACAUGUGGACUUCUGCAACUAUGUAAAUAUGGUUGGAAGAAUAAGCAGCAGCGUUGGUGUAGGUUCCUGUUCUGUGGAAUACAUAGCACACUGACAGAAGAAAGUGGAGGAGGCAUUGCUCAGGCAUCAUCUGCUAAAGGACAGAUAUUGUCUUAUUUACCAGCAGCCACUGAUUUGUGAAAG